Molecule: transfer RNA, 53 nt
Filed under: Pseudocalotes brevipes
Lineage: Eukaryota; Metazoa; Chordata; Lepidosauria; Squamata; Agamidae
Description: tRNA-Cys
Source: RNAcentral
AGACCCAGGAACGAAAAUUCUUCUCCAAAUUUGCAAUUUGGUUUUGCUGGGCC